This 500-nucleotide ribosomal RNA is filed under the name uncultured Glomus. Its description in RNAcentral is "SSU rRNA". It matches the Rfam family "Eukaryotic small subunit ribosomal RNA", at positions 591 to 1092 of the family's 1831-position model. The record is from RNAcentral. Lineage: Eukaryota; Fungi; Glomeromycota; Glomeromycetes; Glomerales; Glomeraceae.
CCAAUAGCGUAUAUUAAAGUUGUUGCAGUUAAAAAGCUCGUAGUUGAAUUUCGGGAUCAGUACGCUGGUCGUGCCUUCGGUAUGAACUGGUGUCACUGGUUCCUCCCUUCUGAAGAACCGUCAUGCCAUUCAGUUGGUGUGGCGGGGAAUCAGGACUGUUACUUUGAAAAAAUUAGAGUGUUUAAAGCAGGCUCGCGCUUGAAUACAUUAGCAUGGAAUAAUGAAAUAGGACGUUUGACCCUAUUUUGUUGGUUUCUAGGAUCGACGUAAUGAUUAAUAGGGAUAGUUGGGGGCAUUAGUAUUCAAUUGUCAGAGGUGAAAUUCUUGGAUUUAUUGAAGACUAACUACUGCGAAAGCAUUUGCCAAGGAUGUUUUCAUUAAUCAAGAACGAAAGUUAGGGGAUCGAAGACGAUCAGAUACCGUCGUAGUCUUAACCAUAAACUAUGCCGACUAGGGAUCGGAUGAUGUUAAUUUUUUAAUGACUCAUUCGGCGCCUUACG